Molecule: ribosomal RNA, 464 nt
Filed under: uncultured bacterium
Lineage: Bacteria
Description: bacterial SSU rRNA
Rfam family: Bacterial small subunit ribosomal RNA
Source: RNAcentral
AACGAACGCUGGCGGCAGGCCUCAAACAUGCAAGUCUAGGGGGUGUAGCAAUACAUCACCGGCGGACGGGUGCGUAACGCGUGGGAAUAUACCUAUUGGUUCGGAACAACUGAGGGAAACUUCAGCUAAUACCGGAUACGUCCUUACGGAGAAAGAUUUAUCGCCAAUAGAUUAGCCCGCGUUCGAUUAGCUAGUUGGUGGGGUAACGGCCCACCAAGGCGACGAUCGAUAGCUGUUCUGAGAGGAAGAUCAGCCACACUGGGACUGAGACACGGCCCAGACUCCUACGGGAGGCAGCAGUUGGGAAUCUUGGACAAUGGGGGAAACCCUGAUCCAGCCAUGCCGCGUGAGUGAUGAAGGCCUUCGGUUGGUAAACUACUUUCGUCGCACGACGAUAAUAGACGGUAGUGCGAGAAGAAGCUCCGGCUAACUUACGUGCCAGCAGCCGCGGUAAUGUCGUACGA